GGGUGAUCUCGCUAUGACAUCUAUCACACCAUUAAUCACCAGAGUUGGUGUGGCUGAUCUGGCUAGCUGGGUGGGUAUUCCCCUUCCUCCACAAGUGUCCCUCCUGAAGAGGAGUGUUUCCUUGGUUGAGGAUAUAUGAGUAGUUGCGCUUCCCUGCUAAGACCUCCAAACAAGCUCUCCGGAUCACUAACUCCGGAUUGCUGUAACAUGAAUGAACCUAGAAAACUUUAUACUCUAUGAAAGAAGCCAGUCACAAAACAUCACAUGUUACAUGAUUCCAUUU
Cavia aperea (Brazilian guinea pig) is the source of this 283-nucleotide unclassified non-coding RNA. Its record names the gene 7SK. It matches the Rfam family "7SK RNA". From Rfam's summary of the family: 7SK was discovered as an abundant small nuclear RNA in the mid-70s but a possible function has only recently been suggested. Two independent studies have found that 7SK RNA binds the CDK9/cyclin T complex (known as elongation factor P-TEFb). The record is from Ensembl. NCBI's taxonomy places the organism in Eukaryota, Metazoa, Chordata, Mammalia, Rodentia, Caviidae.